Salvia hispanica is the source of this 1970-nucleotide long non-coding RNA. RefSeq lists it as uncharacterized. The record is from RefSeq and is a predicted model, not a curated record. Lineage: Eukaryota; Viridiplantae; Streptophyta; Magnoliopsida; Lamiales; Lamiaceae.
UGUUAUUGCAGCUCAAUCUCUCUCCUCACCUACCAUCUCAAUCUUUCUUCAUUUACGGUGGCCACCUCCACGCCGAGAUGCCGCCGCCGUAUUCCAGACGUCGCCGCUGCCCAUUUCUCAUUUCUUGUUCAGCCUCAUCAUCUCUCUCUGUGUGGAUGAGAUGCCGGUGGAGCUGCUCGUCGAGUGUCUUCAGAUCUAUCUGAUCCGCCCUCACAAAUCCGCCGCCGGUGUGGAUGUCUCCCUCCACCAUUUCUCCGGAAAGCGCCGAUGCGAGGUCAGUGGAGCUUACAGUGUGAACGCGCAAUAAGCGACGAACUUCAACAUCGAAAAGCAAAGCGAGCCGAUAAGUUCGGAUAGUCCAAUUGAUGGGACUCCUAGACCUGCAGUUCAUUCGUCCUGCUUAGUUUUGACUGCAUCUGAUACCAGCACUCAUGGUGAAUUUCUGUCUUUCAUAAACAUGCAAAUGAGUGUCUUCCCCCAUUGAAUAUGAGCCAACAGAUUCUGAGUUACGGACACCGGAAUUGAUUGCUAAGGAUACACAUGGAAAUGAAUGGCAAUUCAAACAUAUAUUUAGAGAGGAAGAGAAUGGGGUUUUAAGAGUACUAAACGACUAAAAUUGGUGUUGUGCAUUAAAGGAAAUUAUCCCAAUAGAUUGCAAAUAGAUGUGUCAAAAAAGGCAAAUCAUUGAACAGAAAUUGUAAAAUGAGUUGUAGGAACUUUGUGAUCCAAAAUAUGAAUGAGAGAUAGCACUCAAGAUUUCACAGAUGAGGUGCAUCACGGCAAUGACAAAUACAGAAACAGGAAAGAGAAGGAAAAGAAAAGCGGCUCUCUCUCUUCACUCUACAAUCAUUAUAGAGAGAUGAUAACAUUGCAAGCAUGGGCGGCUACAACACCUACUCUACUGCAUCAAGACAUCACGAUAUUAAAAAAAGGAUUAAUUGCGUUGGGAAGAGCUGUGAAGAUAUUCUGGAAGAAUAGAAUAUAUAUAUAUUGUGUAAUAGUAUAAUAGUAUUUUCUUUCAAAAGCCUAUGCAAGUAUAGAACACAUAGGCUGCAUCCUACCCCCACACAGUUCUCGAUACAUACAAAGAAAACUGAUACUAUAAGCUUUACUUUUAAUCAACUGGACUUUACAAUAAGCUUGAUAGACAUCAUGUUAUUAUCUUCUUUCUAUUCUCUAUUGUUAUUGCAUUUAUGAUGUUGUUUGAGAUAAAUUAUGACUUUAGCGUAAUGUCUUACCUUUAAUUUCAUUAAUAUGCCGAUCAACAAUGCUAGUGAUGUAAUGUUUUGAAGAAAAGACACAUUGUACAUCUUAUUUUGCAACCAAUGUUGAUGUUGCUAAAUUGCUUGAAAGUAUCGAUCCUUUUAAACAAUUUAGUCACCUCUUCAUUGCUUUCCAACAUAUAUGUACUAUUUGCCUUUCUCUUGCAACACAUUUACGUUAUCAACAUUGUUUAUCGUUGUAUUCAUGUAAGUAAAGUAAGACAUCACGGCGAAGUUUGUAUGCCUCUCAAAUAAUAUCCCAAAAGCAAUAAGUUUAGACAAUAAUACAUUACUAUUGAAGAAAGGUGGAGUUGGUUGUAGAAGGCUAAGGAGGUGAACAUCAUGUCUAUCUAAGUAAUUUCAACCUUGUCAGAACUGAAUGCCUUUUUCUAUCAGAUUGGUUGCCUACUUGAAUAGAGUGUUCUUCACAUGCCACUUAGUUCUUGAGCUUUUUUCGUUAACAUGGGUUGACUAUAUUUAGUGAUAAGUUGCAAAAUGUUAUUUGAAUAUUUUUGUAUCUUAGCGAGGUUGAGGUGGUUGCGAUGAGAAGCUUCGAUAGGUGAAGAGGCCCUUCUUCUUUUGUUUGUCCAUGGAAGUUGUGUAUCAUCUUUGUUAUUUCCAAAAAGACAUAGCUCAAUUACUUGCUCAAAAUGAUGGCUAUGGUGUAUUAAAGAUAUUAUCCAUAAUGGAAUUUGUUUUUUCAGCAUA